AACGAACGCUGGCGGCAGGCCUAACACAUGCAAGUCGAGCGCCCUUUCGGGGGCGCGGCGGACGGGUGAGUAACGCGUGGGAAUAUGCCCUUCUCUACGGAAUAGCCUCGGGAAACUGAGAGUAAUACCGUAUACGCCCUGUGGGGGAAAGAUUUAUCGGGGAAGGAUUAGCCCGCGUUGGAUUAGGUAGUUGGUGGGGUAAUGGCCUACCAAGCCGACGAUCCAUAGCUGGUUUGAGAGGAUGAUCAGCCACACUGGGACUGAGACACGGCCCAGACUCCUACGGGAGGUAGCAGUGGGGAAUCUUAGACAAUGGGGGCAACCCUGAUCGAGCCAUGCCGCGUGAGUGAUGAAGGCCUUGGGGUUGUAAAGCUCUUUCAGCUGGGAAGAUAAUGACGGUACCAGCAGAAGAAGCCCCGGCUAACUCCGUG
RNAcentral lists this ribosomal RNA (431 nucleotides) under uncultured bacterium. Its description in RNAcentral is "partial 16S ribosomal RNA". It matches the Rfam family "Bacterial small subunit ribosomal RNA", at positions 29 to 507 of the family's 1533-position model. The record is from RNAcentral.